RNAcentral lists this ribosomal RNA (488 nucleotides) under uncultured bacterium. RNAcentral's name for it is "bacterial SSU rRNA". It matches the Rfam family "Bacterial small subunit ribosomal RNA", at positions 30 to 507 of the family's 1533-position model. The record is from RNAcentral.
UGAACGCUAGCUACAGGCUUAACACAUGCAAGUUGAGGGGCAGCAUGGUCUUAGCUUGCUAAGGCCGAUGGCGACCGGCGCACGGGUGAGUAACACGUAUCCAACCUGCCGUCUACUCUUGGACAGCCUUCUGAAAGGAAGAUUAAUACAAGAUGGCAUCAUGAGUCCGCAUGUUCACAUGAUUAAAGGUAUUCCGGUAGACGAUGGGGAUGCGUUCCAUUAGAUAGUAGGCGGGGUAACGGCCCACCUAGUCUUCGAUGGAUAGGGGUUCUGAGAGGAAGGUCCCCCACAUUGGAACUGAGACACGGUCCAAACUCCUACGGGAGGCAGCAGUGAGGAAUAUUGGUCAAUGGGCGAGAGCCUGAACCAGCCAAGUAGCGUGAAGGAUGACUGCCCUAUGGGUUGUAAACUUCUUUUAUAAAGGAAUAAAGUCGGGUAUGCAUACCCGUUUGCAUGUACUUUAUGAAUAAGGAUCGGCUAACUCCGUG